RNAcentral lists this ribosomal RNA (492 nucleotides) under uncultured bacterium. Its description in RNAcentral is "partial 16S ribosomal RNA". It matches the Rfam family "Bacterial small subunit ribosomal RNA", at positions 29 to 507 of the family's 1533-position model. The record is from RNAcentral.
AGUGAACGCUGGCGGUAGGCCUAACACAUGCAAGUCGAACGGCAGCACAGUAAGAGCUUGCUCUUACGGGUGGCGAGUGGCGGACGGGUGAGGAAUACAUCGGACUCUACUUUUUCGUGGGGGAUAACGUAGGGAAACUUACGCUAAUACCGCAUACGACCUACGGGUGAAAGCAGGGGAUCUUCGGACCUUGCGCGAUUGAAUGAGCCGAUGUCGGAUUAGCUAGUUGGCCGGGUAAAGGCCCACCAAGGCGACGAUCCGUAGCUGGUCUGAGAGGAUGAUCAGCCACACUGGAACUGAGACACGGUCCAGACUCCUACGGGAGGCAGCAGUGGGGAAUAUUGGACAAUGGGCGCAAGCCUGAUCCAGCCAUACCGCGUGGGUGAAGAAGGCCUUCGGGUUGUAAAGCCCUUUUGUUGGGAAAGAAAAGCAGCAGGUUAAUACCCCGCUGUUCUGACGGUACCCAAAGAACAAGCACCGGCUAACUUCGUG